CAAUAGCGUAUAUUAAAGUUGUUGCAGUUAAAAAGCUCGUAGUUGGAUUUGUGGCGUACGGUGUGUUCCGGGCACUUGUUGUCUGAGUAACCUGCUGUUGCCAUCCUUGGGUGGAACCUGUGUGGCAUUAGGUUGUCGUGCAGGGGAUGCCCAUCAUUUACUGUGAAAAAAUUAGAGUGUUCAAAGCAGGCGUAUGCCGUUGAAUAUAUUAGCAUGGAAUAAUGAGAUAGGACUUUUUUGCUAUUUUGUUGGUUUGCGCAAAGAGGUAAUGAUUAAUAGGGACAGUUGGGGGUAUUCGUAUUCCAUUGUCAGAGGUGAAAUUCUUGGAUUUUUGGAAGACGAACUACUGCGAAAGCAUUUACCAAGGAUGUUUUCAUUAA
Molecule: ribosomal RNA, 380 nt
Filed under: uncultured eukaryote
Lineage: Eukaryota
Description: partial 18S ribosomal RNA
Rfam family: Eukaryotic small subunit ribosomal RNA
Source: RNAcentral